UACGGGGGGGGCAAGCGUUGUUCGGAAUUACUGGGCGUAAAGGGCUCGUAGGCGGCCAACUAAGUCGGACGUGAAAUCCCCAGGCUCAACCUGGGAACUGCAUCCGAUACUGGAUGGCUUGAAUCCGGGAGAGGGAUGCAGAAUUCCAGGUGUAGCGGUGAAAUGCGUAGAUAUCUGGAGGAAUACCGGUGGCGAAGGCGGCAUCCUGGACCGGCAUUGACGCUGAGGAGCGAAAGCCAGGGGAGCAAACGGG
This 253-nucleotide ribosomal RNA is filed under the name uncultured bacterium. RNAcentral's name for it is "partial 16S ribosomal RNA". It matches the Rfam family "Bacterial small subunit ribosomal RNA", at positions 524 to 776 of the family's 1533-position model. The record is from RNAcentral.